CAGAAAAUAGUUUAAAAAAAAUAUUAAUUUUGGAGGUUAAAGAUAGCGGGUAAAGUUUUUUCUGA
Molecule: transfer RNA, 65 nt
Filed under: Culicoides arakawae
Lineage: Eukaryota; Metazoa; Arthropoda; Insecta; Diptera; Ceratopogonidae
Description: tRNA-Pro
Source: RNAcentral